UUCUAUAGUAGUGAGAAAUUUCAACUUGGGGUAUCUCAUUACACUCCGUCCAACAGCCAUCGCUUACUCUUUCCCGCCGAUUGGCCGAUCAUUUCAGUUUGCAAGCAGAGUUUAGUUUAGGAUCAUAACAAGAGAGAGUGAUCCGAUUGCUCGACGUAGCUUCUUUCGGUGUUCCUCUGUUCAGUUUGGUUGGAAUCAUGAUUCCAUUGGUCUCCUAGAGUCCUAGUGGUUGUACAAUCAGAUGUUGACAGGACCAACCAAAGUUAUUAUGGGGAAACAAAGCUACACUACCUUACAGUAGAUGUCACACAUGAAGGCGUGGUUCCAUUGUGAAAGUUCUAAGCUUUUCUGUAUCUGCUCCUUUGAUUUUUGAAAGUACUGAACUGACUCUCUGGUUCGAUAACCAGUUCAUGAAUCAUGAUGGUCAGUGGUCCUUCUCGGGCUCAGAGUUUGCGGUUGUAUAUGGCUCUAUGCCGGCUCAUUCCAGCCAGAGCCUUUGGUCCAGCAUUGGUUGGAUGGAGAUGGCAUGACCAUUGAAUCUAUUGGGUCGGUCCAUUCCUCGGUGGUGCAUUGGCCGCGAUUAUAUACGAGUACAUGGUCAUACCCACUGAGCCACCAACACACCACCACACUCACCAGCCCUUGGCUCCUGAAGACUACUAGAUGAGACUUUCCUUUCUGUUUGUUGAUUCUACACUUUUGUUUGUUGUAAUAUUAAGAAUAAAGAAAGAUUUUACAAUUGAGUUCU
Molecule: long non-coding RNA, 748 nt
Organism: Raphanus sativus (radish)
Lineage: Eukaryota; Viridiplantae; Streptophyta; Magnoliopsida; Brassicales; Brassicaceae
Exons: 3
Source: RefSeq, a predicted model, not a curated record